This 992-nucleotide ribosomal RNA is filed under the name uncultured fungus. RNAcentral's name for it is "eukaryotic LSU rRNA". The stretch from base 1 to 242 matches the Rfam family "Eukaryotic small subunit ribosomal RNA", at positions 1593 to 1831 of the family's 1831-position model. The record is from RNAcentral. Lineage: Eukaryota; Fungi.
UUGCUCUUCAACGAGGAAUUCCUAGUAAGCGCAAGUCAUCAGCUUGCGUUGACUACGUCCCUGCCCUUUGUACACGCCGCCCGUCGCUACUACCGAUUGAAUGGCUUAGUGAGGACUUGGGAGAGUACAUCGGGGAGCCAGCAAUGGCACCCUGACGGCUCAAACUCUUACAAACUUGGUCAUUUAGAGGAAGUAAAAGUCGUAACAAGGUAUCUGUAGGUGAACCUGCAGAUGGAUCAUUUCGAUGAAAACCUUUUUUUUCUUGAGGUGUGGCUCGCACCUGUCUAACUAAACUUGAGCUACCUUUUUUCAACACGGUUGCAUCGGUUGGCCUGUCAAACAGUGCGGCGGCGUGAAUUUUCACGUCUGCUUUGGCUGGGCGACGGACCGACACUUAAUCAACACUUUUGAUGAUCUAGGAUUUGAAUGAUAAAAGUUCAUUUUUACAAUGAAAUCGACUGGUAAUGCGGUCGUCUAAUUUUUAAAAACAACUUUUGGCAACGGAUCUCUUGGUUCUCCCAUCGAUGAAGAACGCAGCGAAUUGCGAUAAGUAAUGUGAAUUGCAGAAGUGAAUCAUCGAAUCUUUGAACGCACCUUGCGCUCCCGGCAGAUCUAAUCUGGGGAGCAUGCCUGUUUGAGGGCCGCGAAUUGUUUCGAACGACAACUUUUUCUUCUUUUUUUUGAAGAGUUGGCGGAUCGGUAUUGAGGGUUUUGCCAUUCACCGUGGCUCCCUCGAAAUGCAUUAGCGCAUCCAUUUGAUAGGCAAGACGGACGAAAGCUCGAUUUUCGCUCUCUCUUCCCUGCCGGGUUUUGAUAAUAUCAGGACUUCGGAGAGGUUGAGAUGGGUAAGAGCUGGACGCAACGGCUUGCUGUUUGGAGUGCUUCUGAAACCCGCCCAUAUCGAGCUUUGCCUCGGAAGGGAUUUUAAUAAUUCAUCGGCCUCAGAUUGGUAGGACUACCCGCUGAACUUAAGCAUAUCAAUAAGCGGAGGA